This 492-nucleotide ribosomal RNA is filed under the name uncultured bacterium. Its description in RNAcentral is "partial 16S ribosomal RNA". It matches the Rfam family "Bacterial small subunit ribosomal RNA", at positions 28 to 507 of the family's 1533-position model. The record is from RNAcentral.
GGUGAACGCUGGCGGUAGGCCUAACACAUGCAAGUCGAACGGCAGCACAGUAAGAGCUUGCUCUUACGGGUGGCGAGUGGCGGACGGGUGAGGAAUACAUCGGAAUCUACUUUUUCGUGGGGGAUAACGUAGGGAAACUUACGCUAAUACCGCAUACGACCUACGGGUGAAAGCAGGGGAUCUUCGGACCUUGCGCGAUUGAAUGAGCCGAUGUCGGAUUAGCUAGUUGGCGGGGUAAAGGCCCACCAAGGCGACGAUCCGUAGCUGGUCUGAGAGGAUGAGCAGCCACACUGGAACUGAGACACGGUCCAGACUCCUACGGGAGGCAGCAGUGGGGAAUAUUGGACAAUGGGCGCAAGCCUGAUCCAGCCAUACCGCGUGGGUGAAGAAGGCCUUCGGGUUGUAAAGCCCUUUUGUUGGGAAAGAAAAGCAGCAGGUUAAUACCCCGCUGUUCUGACGGUACCCAAAGAAUAAGCACCGGCUAACUUCGUG